Molecule: ribosomal RNA, 429 nt
Filed under: Chloroflexota bacterium
Lineage: Bacteria; Bacillati; Chloroflexota
Description: Chloroflexi bacterium partial 16S ribosomal RNA
Rfam family: Bacterial small subunit ribosomal RNA
Source: RNAcentral
UGGGGAAUAUUGCACAAUGGGCGCAAGCCUGAUGCAGCCAUGCCGCGUGUGUGAAGAAGGCCUUCGGGUUGUAAAGCACUUUCAGCGGGGAGGAAGGCGAUAAGGUUAAUAACCUUGUCGACUGACGUUACCCGCAGAAGAAGCACCGGCUAACUCCGUGCCAGCAGCCGCGGUAAUACGGAGGGUGCAAGCGUUAAUCGGAAUUACUGGGCGUAAAGCGCACGCAGGCGGUCUGUCAAGUCGGAUGUGAAAUCCCCGGGCUCAACCUGGGAACUGCAUUCGAAACUGGCAGGCUAGAGUCUUGUAGAGGGGGGUAGAAUUCCAGGUGUAGCGAUGAAAUGCGUAGAGAUCUGGAGGAAUACCGGUGGCGAAGGCGGCCCCCUGGACAAAGACUGACGCUCAGGUGCGAAAGCGUGGGGAGCAAACAGG